CCUACGGGCCGCAGCAGUGGGGAAUAUUGGACAAUGGGCGAAAGCCUGAUCCAGCCAUGCCGCGUGUGUGAAGAAGGCCUUCGGGUUGUAAAGCACUUUCAGUGGGGAAGAAAGCCUUGGGGCUAAUACCCUCGAGGAAGGACAUCACCCACAGAAGAAGCACCGGCUAACUCCGUGACAGCAGCCGCGGUAAUACGGAGGGUGCGAGCGUUAAUCGGAAUUACUGGGCGUAAAGCGCGCGUAGGCGGUCUGAUAAGCCGGUUGUGAAAGCCCCGGGCUCAACCUGGGAACGGCAUCCGGAACUGUCAGGCUAGAGUGCAGGAGAGGAAGGUAGAAUUCCCGGUGUAGCGGUGAAAUGCGUAGAGAUCGGGAGGAAUACCAGUGGCGAAGGCGGCCUUCUGGACUGACACUGACGCUGAGGUGCGAAAGCGUGGGUAGCAAACAGGAUUAGAUACCCGUGUAGUC
Molecule: ribosomal RNA, 465 nt
Filed under: Vreelandella stevensii
Lineage: Bacteria; Pseudomonadati; Pseudomonadota; Gammaproteobacteria; Oceanospirillales; Halomonadaceae
Description: partial 16S ribosomal RNA
Rfam family: Bacterial small subunit ribosomal RNA
Source: RNAcentral